GCGUCAGUAGUGCAACGUGACAGAGCACGUGCUCCCUGAUCGAGUGAGAUGUGGGUUCGAGCCCCGCCUGACGCA
Non-coding RNA from Parelaphostrongylus tenuis, 75 nucleotides. Lineage: Eukaryota; Metazoa; Nematoda; Chromadorea; Rhabditida; Metastrongylidae. The record is from the annotation of a GenBank genome assembly.